This 261-nucleotide ribosomal RNA is filed under the name uncultured archaeon. RNAcentral's name for it is "partial 16S ribosomal RNA". It matches the Rfam family "Archaeal small subunit ribosomal RNA", at positions 748 to 1009 of the family's 1478-position model. The record is from RNAcentral.
UAGCCGUAAACGAUACUCGCUAGGUGUCGGCCACGGUGCGACCGUUGUCGGUGCCGUAGGGAAGCCGUGAAGCGAGCCACCUGGGAAGUACGGCCGCAAGGCUGAAACUUAAAGGAAUUGGCGGGGGAGCACAACAACGGGUGGAGCCUGCGGUUUAAUUGGACUCAACGCCGGGAAGCUCACCGGAUAAGACAGCGGAAUGAUUGCCGGGCUGAAGACCCUGCAUGACCAGCUGAGAGGAGGUGCAUGGCGUAGUCGUGU